This 581-nucleotide long non-coding RNA is filed under the name Equus asinus (donkey). RNAcentral's name for it is "lncRNA (ENSEASG00005033582.1)". The record is from RNAcentral. Lineage: Eukaryota; Metazoa; Chordata; Mammalia; Perissodactyla; Equidae.
GAAGGGCCCAAGGGAUGGUCAGCUGCCCCUGAGAUGGGGACCUGGGAGAAAGAACAGGUUUGAAGGGGAGACGCUUAGGCUAGUUUGGAACAUGGGGGGUGUGGCAGCCCAGGGUGGGAGUGAAGAGAGAAGACCAGGCUUGAGAAAUCAGCCGUAAGGAAAGGAUCAGUAAGGAAAGAUUUGGCUGCAGGGAACAAAGUCCUGACUGGCGCUGGCUGAAACAAUGAGAUAACUGUAGAUUGCACAUCCCCAGAGUUGGGCAGACCUCUGGUCAUGACACAGUCCACAGCUCCAGGAGGGUCUUGUGGCCCCAGGGUUCCUCUCUCUCUACUCUGCCACUCUCAGCUGAAGGCUUGGCUCCCACACGGGCUCCCCUCACAGCCCCAAAGUGGCUGCCACAGGUCCGGGCAUCACAACCAGCCAUAAUUUCUAGUGCAAGAAGACAGGGGCAUCUCUUCCUGUGUCUCUUUGGAAACAAGGAAACCUUUUCCCAAAGCCUCCCCAGCAGACUUCUCUUCCAUCUCGUUGGCCAAAAUUGGCUCACAUGCCCGAACCAAUCAUUGGCUAGAGUGAUGGAGCCA